This 516-nucleotide ribosomal RNA is filed under the name Enterococcus durans. Its description in RNAcentral is "bacterial SSU rRNA". It matches the Rfam family "Bacterial small subunit ribosomal RNA", at positions 56 to 544 of the family's 1533-position model. Lineage: Bacteria; Bacillati; Bacillota; Bacilli; Lactobacillales; Enterococcaceae. The record is from RNAcentral.
UGCAGUCGUACGCUUCUUUUUCCACCGGAGCUUGCUCCACCGGAAAAAGAAGAGUGGCGAACGGGUGAGUAACACGUGGGUAACCUGCCCAUCAGAAGGGGAUAACACUUGGAAACAGGUGCUAAUACCGUAUAACAAUCGAAACCGCAUGGUUUUGAUUUGAAAGGCGCUUUCGGGUGUCGCUGAUGGAUGGACCCGCGGUGCAUUAGCUAGUUGGUGAGGUAACGGCUCACCAAGGCCACGAUGCAUAGCCGACCUGAGAGGGUGAUCGGCCACAUUGGGACUGAGACACGGCCCAAACUCCUACGGGAGGCAGCAGUAGGGAAUCUUCGGCAAUGGACGAAAGUCUGACCGAGCAACGCCGCGUGAGUGAAGAAGGUUUUCGGAUCGUAAAACUCUGUUGUUAGAGAAGAACAAGGAUGAGAGUAACUGUUCAUCCCUUGACGGUAUCUAACCAGAAAGCCACGGCUAACUACGUGCCAGCAGCCGCGGUAAUACGUAGGUGGCAAGCGUUGU